CCUACGGGAGGCAGCAGGAGGGAAUAUUGCUCAAUGGGGGAAACCCGGAAGCAGCAAAGCCGCGGGGAGGAUGAAGGUUUUCGGAGGGGAAACCCCUUUUGGUAGAGAAGAGAAGGACGGUACCUAACGAAUAAGCACCGGCUAACUCCGUGCCAGCAGCCGCGGUAAUACGGAGGGGGCAAGCGUUACUCGGAAUCACUGGGCGUAAAGAGCGCGUAGGCGGGAUAGCAAGGCAGAUGUGAAAUCCUAUGGCUUAACCCUAGAACUGCAUUUGAAACUGUUAUUCUAGAGUAUGGGAGAGGUAGGUGGAAUUCUUGGUGUAGGGGUGAAAUCCGUAGAGAUCACGAGGAAUACUCAUUGCGAAGGCGACCUGCUAGAACAUAACUGACGCUGAUGCGCGAAAGCGUGGGGAGCAAACAGGAUUAGAUACCCUGGUAGUC
Molecule: ribosomal RNA, 440 nt
Filed under: uncultured bacterium
Lineage: Bacteria
Description: partial 16S ribosomal RNA
Rfam family: Bacterial small subunit ribosomal RNA
Source: RNAcentral